UUGGUUUUUUUUUUUGAAAUCAAUGAUGGAUAGGUAAGUGCAGUUCUUGGGUCAGGUACAAAUUCAGCAUUCAGGGAAUGCGCUCCGAUAGUGUUUGACCCUCAGCAGGGACAGUGCACAGCAGCGGCCGAGGGGAUUCCUGUGCCCCUGGGCAGGAGUCAGGACUCUGGAUCUGGGCUCAACACUGCAAAGUUCCCGUGUUUGGACAGAGGAAGGGGCUGUCCCCGGGGCGCGCGGGGCUCGGCCGUGGGGCGAGCGGGGAACGGACACGCGGACAAACGGCCUCGGUGCUUCAGUUGCAGAGGCAGCAGCGGCGGCGGCGGCAGCAGCGGCGGCAGCAGCGGCAGCAAAAGCAGUUUUUCUCUUCUUUCUCUUUCUCUUCUUUCUCUCCGGCUGUGGGACACCUUCCUCUCGGUGUCCCUCACCCGCUGUCCCUCCCCUCUCCCCGCCUCCUUCUCCCCCAUGCCGGGCCGGGCCAUGCCCCCGGCCCGCCCCCGGCCCCGGGCGGGGCUGCCCCGUCCCCGCCCCCGCCCGCCCCGCCGCGGUCUCGCCUCCGCCCGGCUCUGGGCGUGCUGGCGGUGGCGCUGCUGGGCGGGCAUCAGUGCCUGGGGCUGGGCCCUUUGGCUCCGCCUGGCCCGAGCCCGGCCCCGGCCCCGGCCCCGGCCCCGGCUCCUCCCGGGCCCCGCGGAGGACACACGCGGCACGGCCGCUGCCGCCUCCGCCGCGGCUUCCCCGGCCCGAGCUCCGCUGCUCAGCAGCGCGGCCGCCGGCCCCGAGCCUCCCGUGUCCCGUUCCCGAGACCGAAGGCCUGGGGAUGGCCGGCCCGGGGCGGUUGAGGGGCGCUCGGGGGCCGCUCCUGGCCCCGGGCCGAGCGCUGACAGCCGCGUCCCGCCCGCAGGGAAGGCGCAGGAGGCGCUGCAGCAGCGCUACCGAGUGGGUUCGCUGCUGGGGCGCGGCGGCUUCGGCAGCGUCUUCGCAGCCACGCGGCUCUCGGACGGUGCCCCGGUGGCCAUCAAAAGGGUGCCACGGAACCGCGUCCGGCACUGGGACGAGCUGCCCGACGGCACCAGCGCACCCCUGGAGAUCGUGCUGCUGGACAAGGUGUCCACUGGCUUCCCUGGUGUGGUCCAGCUGCUGGAGUGGCUUGAGCUCCCCAACAACAUCGUGAUGGUGCUGGAGCGGCCGGAGCGGUCUCAGGACCUCCUGCAUUUCAUUCGGGCACGGAGGUUCCUGUCUGAAGAGGUGGCACGGCAGCUGUUCCGCCAGGUGCUGGAGGCCGUGCGGCACUGCACCAGCCGAGGGGUCCUGCACCGCGACAUCAAACCAGAGAACAUCCUGGUUGACCUGGCCACUGGCCAGGCAAAAUUGAUCGACUUUGGCUGCGGCACCUACCUGCAAGACACAGCCUACACUCACUUUGCAGGAACACUGUCAUACAGCCCCCCGGAAUGGACCCACUUGGGCUGGUACCAUGGCGAGGCAGCAACGAUCUGGUCCCUGGGCAUCCUGCUGCACCAGAUGGUCUGCGGGCAGCACCCUUUCAGGAGGGGCCGGAAGAUCAGCUGGGACCAUCAGCUCUCGCUGCCACAGCGGCUCUCUCCAGGGAAGGAGAAGGAGUCCUUGGAGAAGCUGUACCAGGUGGGGCUGCUGCUGCUGCUGGAGACAGCGACGACAACAUCAAGGAUGACAACCUCUUCCUCAACCUGGCCACUGGCAGCUGAAGAUGAUGGACUUGUGGCACCGUCUUCAAAGCCAGGCUCCACAGCGAAUUCGCAGAUGAGUCCACAGCCGGGGAAAUGCUCCCAGAUUUGGGCAUUGCUCAGACUGGCUGGGAACAAAAGUUUCUCCCUUUGCUGGGGCAGAUGCAACUUCAGUCGGCUGCCCAGCUGCUUUUUGGCAGGGCUGGGGGCAUGGGCUGGGGUGGAUACAAGAUGGGAGUUGGCUCCUGGCCCUGCCAACAGCCCCCAGCACCCAGCAUGGCCUGGGCUGAGGCUGGGGCUGGGGCUGGGGCAGCCAGCCCGGCACAGAGAAACCCCCAUGGCGGGAGCAGAGGUGGGACUCCAGAACCUGUGCAGGGGCUGCUUUGCUUUGCAGGCAAGGAAGGGCUUGGGCUGCUCCACUGCCCUUGUUUGCUUUGGGAUCACCGUUAUUUUGGGGGGCAGUGCAGGAGGGAAGAGAGAAAGUGUGGCCUUCUCUCCCCCAUGGGUGGGAUUUUCCCUAGCAUGUAGGGGUUGGGCCUUCCUCAGACCUCUGACAGAGAUAAGAGUUUUUUUCUUGUUUCCCCUUGUCUCUAAUCUCUUUUCAACAGUUUGUUGUUUGUUUUUCUAGAGGAAGCGUUCUAUGUAAGGUCCAGUCGGGAUUGGGAAGUGCCUGGGAGCAGCUGCAGCGUGGAUGGGCCGUGCCCUUGGAGAAGGCUGAGGACAUCGUUUGGGACCAGCUUUUCUCCCAGCGGAGGAUGGCGUGAGCCGGGCUCUGCGGGUGCUGAGGCUGCUCUGGGCUCUGCCAGGGCUCUGCUGGGCUCUGCCCCGGGCACAGCUGGGCUGGCUCUGCCCUCACAUUGCUCUGACAGCUUUGCAUCAGACGAGCCCGUUGGAGCACAGUGCCUGAGCUUUCUGCUUUGGCAGAAGUGCCAUGAGUGGGCCAAAGCUGGCAAGUGAGCCGUGUUCCUGAGGCAGUGCAGUCUGGAGCUGAUGGAUGGAGAAUUGCCCUUCCCACUUCCAAAGCAGAGCAAAAAGCCAGGUCCUGGCCCUCUUCCAGCCAAAAGGGAAAGGGCCCCACCAAGCCUUGUUACCCACAGACAACAUGGUAAAGCUGAACACUAAAGGACCUUGGGGGCAUUAUUCUGGAAUUAAAAAGUUGCCAGCUCCAUGGACAACAGAAUUAUUGUUCCUAACCUGAAUGACAUUGAGCAAAAAGAAUGAAGAACGGUGUCACUAAAGUACUACUGACGUUUGCCAAAACACCUCCAGAGUUUCACCAAGGGAUCAGUCAUCAAAAUGUUUUGAAAAUUUAAAGACCAAGGUAGCCAAAGCACACAGUGUCACUAAUUGCUGGGUAUGUUCUCAGCUGAAGUUGGGAGGAAUGGGGUUCCCUUGGAGGGCCCACCCUGUGGGGUGGCCAGAACUCUGUCAAUGGGCUCUGCCUCGUAACGGAGUCAAUGAAGGGACAGUUACAGAAACCUGUGCUGUGGGACACGGGAAUACAACGAUCAGUGUGACAGGAUUCACUCAGAUUUCCCCUCAGGAGAAACCAAACCCUGUUACAGUUAUAGAGGCUACAGUGUCAGAAGAUUUCUGUGCUUUACCAUCACUCCCAAUGUCAGUAGAACUUGGGGUGCUGCAGCUGGUCAGUGUCAGUGUCACACCGCUCCCAGCUGCAGGGCCCCCAUUUAGGGUCCUUCAGCAACGACCACACGGAAGACUUAGGGCCCAGAGAACAUUUUCCACCCAAAGAGUGCCUUGGGUUUCCGAAAGCAAAGGAUUCUGGUUCACCCUGUGCCCCAUGUGCGCUGCCCCAUCCCGUGGAGUUGACAUGAAUGAGCUGAAUGGAUUAUUAGAAGAGGUAGUAAAUGAUACUGUUGAAAUGCCCAUUAGCACAUCCUAUGAGCUCCAACAAACACAAAUGGGGACUCCAGAGAACCGCAUGGCCUUGGAUUAUCUGCUUGCUGGCCAAGGAGGAACCUGGGCUAUCAGGGCACGGGGAUGUUGCACUGCUAGCAGUGAUGGGUUUGAAGGCCAACAGUCAGGAAUCACCUUGACAGAAGGAGCAGUAGAAGAGUGGCAGAAAGAAGAAAAUUCUUCUUGGUGGGAUUGGCUUCGUGGCUGCCAAAUUAGAGGCUGCUGUGAAAUGCAUUGGUGGCAGGGCCUGUCAUCAUUGCAGUGUGUGCACUUGGUGAGUUGCUGUGACACUUUGUGCUGGGAAGUGGAGUAAUGGGACCUUUCUUAAAAGAGACAGUCUCAAGAAAAGAGAGGCAUUUGAUAAAUAACAGAGAAUAGCAACUAUUUAGGCAUGUUUUAAAAGGAACGUGAAUAGCUCUGAGUAAUGAAGUUAAACUGCACUUAAUUGUAGAACAAGAGGAGAUGCCUUUAUGCCUAAUACCUAAAUCUAAGCUGUGUUACUGAAAGAAUUGUUACAAAGGUUGUAGUUGAUUGUAGGUCUCAGGACCGAUCAAAGUACCAAGGCCUGAACAGGUUGUGAUCAGGGCCUGAACAGGCCCUGAGGCAAAGCUCACCUCUAGAUGAAUCUUCCAAGCAAAUGUUGUAUUUGUAUCCACUCAUUAAGGAAGCAUGAUUAACAACACGAUCAAUGCAUGUGUUCCUUGAUAAAACAUGGAUUUAUCUUUCUGUAUUUAGAAACAGACAAGGCCCCAUCUGGCCUUGUUUGGGGGUGAAGGAUCAAAGUCAACUCCCUUGGUUCCUCCUUCAGCCCUGGCCAGGCUUUGGGAGAAAGCAGUCAGGAGAAUGAAAGCAGAUGUUCUCGCAGUGGCAGUGAUGCCAGCUUGUUUGUUUAACAGUGUAAAAGCUGGGUCCUCUCACAGCUUUGGGGUUGGAACAUCAUUGCUUGCAGAGGUGGAGGCACCUGCAGGAAUUCCCAGUGUCUGGGAGUGGCUCUCCAGUCCUUGGCUUCCCCCAGCUGAUGUGUGGCUGUGGAUGAUGGUAAAGCCUGAGGCUAACUGGUGAUGGAUCUUUCCUUAAUCACUCCAGGCAAUCUCUGGUAGCAAUGACUGGAUGCAUUGCUGAGCUUCUUUUGUAAUGCUUUGCUAAUGAUGAUGUGCUUUGCUGAGCUUAUCCUUUUGUAAUUCUUUGCAGCUGUGCAUGAUAUAAAUGACACAAUUCCUUCA
This is a non-coding RNA of Taeniopygia guttata (zebra finch), 4840 nucleotides long. NCBI's taxonomy places the organism in Eukaryota, Metazoa, Chordata, Aves, Passeriformes, Estrildidae. The record is from RefSeq and is a predicted model, not a curated record.